UACGUAGGGUGCGAGCGUUGCCCGGAUUUAUUGGGCGUAAAGGGCGCGUAGGCGGCUCGGCACGUCCGUUGUGAAAUCGCUCGGCUCAACUGGGCGAGGUCAGCGGAUACGGUCGAGCUUGAGCCAGCUAGGGGGCAAUGGAAUUCCCGGUGUAGUGGUGGAAUGCGUAGAUAUCAGGAGAAACACCGGUGGCGAAGGCGGGUCUCUGGGCCGACACUGACGCUGGGGAGCGAAAGCGUGGGGAGCGAACAGG
This 253-nucleotide ribosomal RNA is filed under the name uncultured bacterium. RNAcentral's name for it is "partial 16S ribosomal RNA". It matches the Rfam family "Bacterial small subunit ribosomal RNA", at positions 524 to 776 of the family's 1533-position model. The record is from RNAcentral.